CUACUGGAUACCGCUGUCAUAUAUGUUUAUAUACACGCGCGCGCACUCAUCACCAAACACACACCCACUCACACCUCACACACACUCGGACCUACAACUACUCGCUCUCUGCUUUGUGGUUUUGUCUUUGCAGGGUUGUUUGCGGCUUUGGUCAUGCUGGUGCUGAGGUUGAGGGCCGAGAGGAAUAAUGGUACAGCUUGGUCUUUGCAGUCGAUGGAUUCUGGUGAAGGGAAAUUGGCUAGAGCGUAUCAGCUUGUGCCCAGUAAGAUAGACUAUCGAGUGACAUGAGAUGAGCAUCUUCGAGGAGUGGCAACUGUGGCUGUUGUAUGUAUCUCAUGACGUAAUACUUCUAUUCAGUUAUUGCAGAACCUUGAACAAUGAAGAAGAAAAAAUGAUCAAUUUGAAAACUUAGUGGGAAAGAGCGUGUAAGGCACAGAAGGUAUCUUCCUCCUCAACUCCGGCUACAGCGCAGCCUGUUGACAAUCAUCGGUUGCUGCUCAAUUCCAAUGCAGAACCUGAGGUGGCAAGUGCAGAACCUGAGAGUGACAAAGCAAGCAUAGAACCUUGCUGGCCAUUGUCAUCUAUCAAAUGAAGAAAUUGGCGAAGCUAUUUAUGAUAUUGAUUUGCUCCUGCAUGAUCCUGGAAAGAGGGCUCCCAUCACAAGUUAUGAUGUCAAUGAAUGAGAUUCAGUGAGAAGGAGAUACAUUGCAAUGCGGUCAUGUCAACCAUGGGGCCAUGAUUUUCCUCGAAGAGAUAUUGGAGGAUCAAAUUAAUUGUCCUGGUGGAGAUGCUUUCUUAAAUGAGGGAUUUAGAAAUUGGCACAUGACGAAGAGGAUUGACAAACAUGCUGGUGGCAUUACUAGUUACCAUAGUGAAGCUCUAAAGAAAUAUAAUUUGUUCAUUAAACCAAAAUCAUCUAUUGUCGAGUCUUUUGCUUCCAACACCACACAAGAGAAGGCUUUGUAUAAAUGUCAUUUUACUUAUUCACUUCAGUGCUUGAAGUUUCUUUUACGUCAAGGCUUGGCUUGUUGU
This is a long non-coding RNA of Phragmites australis (common reed), 1032 nucleotides long. RefSeq lists it as uncharacterized. The record is from RefSeq and is a predicted model, not a curated record. Lineage: Eukaryota; Viridiplantae; Streptophyta; Magnoliopsida; Poales; Poaceae. The transcript has 3 exons.